This 317-nucleotide long non-coding RNA is filed under the name Mytilus galloprovincialis (Mediterranean mussel). The record is from RNAcentral. Lineage: Eukaryota; Metazoa; Mollusca; Bivalvia; Mytilida; Mytilidae.
CGAGUCUAAUUACUGCAAUCAUUAUCUUUUUAAAAGUCGGAUAACAUCAGUCUCCAUAUGCAUAGGUAAACAUGUCAACUAAAUAUUGAUGGACACAUGCUUAACAAAAACAGUUCCCUAGGCUAGUUGCCAAACAUACAAAAUAAUAUUGACUUCUGUUUUAAUAUAAAAGCAUGAUAGACGCUUUCAAAUUAUAACACGAAAAAUGGCAGUUCGACAACUUAUUGUCGGCUUCUUAUUUGUGUCCAGCCUUCUUCUUGCUUUUGCAUCUGAGCCGACGUACGAGGAUAAAGUUGACCAGACAAUAAGAGAGGUUA